Molecule: non-coding RNA, 139 nt
Organism: Hordeum vulgare subsp. vulgare (domesticated barley)
Lineage: Eukaryota; Viridiplantae; Streptophyta; Magnoliopsida; Poales; Poaceae
Source: Rfam
CCCCUCGACGACGACGAGCUCAUCUCCAACAUUGUGGCUGGACUCGACAUGGAGUACCAGCCGCUCGUCUCCGCCCUCGACGCUCGUGUGGAACUGGUCACCCUUGACGAAUUGUUUGCUUAGAUGAGGAACUUCGAUC